Microcebus murinus (gray mouse lemur) is the source of this 1871-nucleotide non-coding RNA. The record is from RefSeq and is a predicted model, not a curated record. Lineage: Eukaryota; Metazoa; Chordata; Mammalia; Primates; Cheirogaleidae.
ACCGCCGUCAAGGGUCACCGCGUCGGCCUUGUUUCCCUGAGAAGAAAGGAGGCCAGCCUGGCUUCAAGAGGAAACUCACCCAAACCCGGCUUCAAGAGGCUGACCACAUUCCUUGGGUCUCUAGCAAGACAGAAAAACAAAAAAGGAGAAAAUUUGCCAAUAUCAACAAUGAAACAAGAGCUAUCACUACAGAUCCUGAAGACAACAGCAGGAUAAUUCAAAGACUACUAAAACAUCUUUACACACAUAAAGUUGACAACUUAUAUGAAAAAGACCAAUUCCUCCAAAGGAACGAGCCACUGUAACUUACCCAAUAGGAAAUAGAUCAUUUGAAUAGCUCUAUAACUAUUUAAUAAUUGAAUUUAUAGUUUUCAAACUCCCCAAAAAUAAAUCUCAGACUCAAGACAGGGUCACUGUUGAAUUCUACCUAAGGUUUAAAAAAUUAUCACCAAUUCUACAUAAGCUCUUCCAAAAACUAUGAGGAAAUGCUCUCUAACUCAUAUGAGGCCUGUUUGGUAGAGAGAGAGAGGGGAAACCCCCUAUGAGAUGUCAAUCACUUUCUUCUGCUCUCCUAUACACACACACACACACACACACACACACACACACACACACACACGCCACCUCUCUCUGCCCUACUGCCCUGCACCCUACCCUACCAGCUACCCUAUGAACCACAUGGCUCUUUUGAUCUGGCCACAGCCAAUUGACCAUUUGAGAUUAGUAACUCAAGCUGGCCAAGUAAUCUUUUUUAACUUAAAAAAAAAAAACAAAAAACUCUCAUGUAGAAAAAUGGAAAAACAUAAAUGUACAAUUGAGCGAAUUAUCCCAAAGAGAACGCUCGUGUAACUGCCAUCCAGGUCAAGAAAGAAAACAUUACCAACAUCCAGAAGCCCCCUUAUCCCUCCACCCAAUCUCACAGCCUCCCACUUCCCCCAAACCUGGCUGCUAUCCUACUAGCUACUAAACUACCAGUCUAUUUUUUUUGUCUAGUUUUGAAUUUUAUGUAAAUAGAAUCAAUCAUGCAAUAUAUGUCCUUUUGCAUCUGAUUUCUUUCAUUCAACAUUAUGUUUGUGAGAUCAUUCUUCUUUGUUAUUUUCUAAAUUUUAUUUCAUUUUAUAAUAACUGCUGGCAUUAGAAACACAAUCUGUUUUUGUGUAUUAUCGUUGUGUUUGGCAACUUGGUUAAAUUCACUUACAGAUUCUAAUUACUUGGAAAUGUCCACAAACGUAACAAUGGAAGCUUUAUUACUUCCUCUCCGAUCAUUUUGCUGCACUGAAAGGGACUUUCAGUACAAUGUUGAGUAGAUAUGAAGAUAAGAGUAUCCGGGUCUUGUUCCUGAGCUCAGAAGGAAAGCUUUCAGUGUUUCCCUCCUUAAAUGUGAUGUCUGCUUGCUGUAGGUGUUUUGCAGACUUAUAGAUUUUUGUAGAUUAGGAAAGUUUUAAACAUAAAUGGAUGUUGAAUUUCAACAUCUAUUGAAAUAAUCAUUUGGAUUUUUGUCUUUUGUGAUGAAUUGCACCAAUUUAUUAUAUUUCCAAAUGCCGAGCCAAACUUACAUUCCUCAUCCAGUUUGUAAGUGGUAAUAUUUGGCUUUUAAAAGUAAACUUUUAAUUGAAGUAUAUAACAUGCACACGCAUACAUAACGCAACAAAUGCACAAGUCGUAAAUGUAUGGUUUGAGGAAGUUUUAAAAUUUGAACACCUCCCUGUGAAACAGAUCUCAGUUCAAGGACUAGAACAUCACCAGCCCCUAGAAAUCCUCGACAUGCCCCUUUCCAAUCACUACCCCAAAGGGAAUCACUAUCCUGACGUCUAACAUAACAUAUUAAUUUCUACUGUGUUUGAAAUUUUUAUAAAUGGAAUUGUAUGGAC